This 464-nucleotide ribosomal RNA is filed under the name uncultured bacterium. RNAcentral describes it as "partial 16S ribosomal RNA". It matches the Rfam family "Bacterial small subunit ribosomal RNA", at positions 338 to 795 of the family's 1533-position model. The record is from RNAcentral.
CCUACGGGUGGCAGCAGUGGGGAAUAUUGCGCAAUGGGCGAAAGCCUGACGCAGCGACGCCGCGUGAGGGAUGAAGGUCUUCGGAUCGUAAACCUCUGUCAGCAGGGAAGAACGGUCACUGUGCUAAUCAGCAGUGAAUUGACGGUACCUGCAAAGGAAGCACCGGCUAACUCCGUGCCAGCAGCCGCGGUAAUACGGGGGGUGCGAGCGUUAAUCGGAAUUACUGGGCGUAAAGCGCUCGUAGGCGGUAUGUCAAGUCAAGGGUGAAAUCCCCGCGCUCAUCGUGGGAACUGCCUUUGAAACUGGCAAACUGGGGUGUGUGAGAGGAUAGUGGAAUUCCAGGUGUAGGAGUGAAAUCCGUAGAUAUCUGGAGGAACAUCAGUGGGAAGGCGACUAUCUGGCACAUAACUGACGCUGAGGAGCGAAAGCGUGGGUAGCAAACAGGAUUAGAUACCCGUGUAGUC